UGAUAGAACAGCCAAGCAGUGUGGCCGG
This 28-nucleotide non-coding RNA is filed under the name Homo sapiens (human). The record is from RNAcentral. Lineage: Eukaryota; Metazoa; Chordata; Mammalia; Primates; Hominidae.